Molecule: non-coding RNA, 115 nt
Organism: Cytospora paraplurivora
Lineage: Eukaryota; Fungi; Ascomycota; Sordariomycetes; Diaporthales; Cytosporaceae
Source: the annotation of a GenBank genome assembly
GUCUUCGUGGCUCAGUUGGUUAGAGCGUUGGUCUCAUAGUUCAUCUAUGACUUGAAGGUUAUAACCUCCAAGAGAUCCAAUCCAAAGGUCGUGAGUUCGAGUCUCACCGAGGACA